GGUGACCUUUAGUUCGUAGAGUGACCUGCGCAGUCGUGGAGGAAGCGUGCGAAUGUAGUAGGUCCCGCAAAUAUUAGGUGUGGUUUUGAACUCUCAUCCGUAGGCACUUGAGACUUUGCAGAACGAUAGUCACCGCCUGAGCUGAUCGGUAGCAUCAGAGAUCUUCCCAUUCUUAUCUGGCGUUGGCUGACAGGAAGAAGGCUUGACGUGUAUGAAUUCCUGUUGAUCCGGCGUAGUCACUUUCCAUCAGUGCAGGAAGACAUCAAGGUCACUACAGUCUGGCGCAAUGGCGUUGUCUGCCAGGAAGGAGACUUGAUAUAUAGGAACUCAUAUUGGUUCGACAAAGUCGUGUCCAUCUACGCAGGAAGACAUCAUGGUCACUUACGUCUGACGAAUGGUGUUCUCUGCCAGAAAAGAGACAUGACGUCUAUGAAUUUACAAUGGUUCGCCACGGGCACUUCCCAGCUGUGCAGGAAGACAUCAGGGACAUAGCUGUCUGGCGCAAUGGAGCUGUACCAGAUAGCCUGGCGUCGCCACUAUCACCAACACUAAGGUGGUACCAUCAUUACAUAUGUCGGACGUCGUAUGCUGGGCAGACUGGUAAACCAGGACAAGUGGCAAACUGUGGCAGAACUGACAUCAGACUUUAAUGCUGGUCAGAGUACACGUGACUGAACACAGUGCACUGAAAAAUCCUGAUGACCCAUGCAUGUGCCUGCCAGAAGAAUAUAAAGAUGAUGUAAUUUUCCAAUCUGAAUUAAUAAAUAUAGAUUAGGAGGCCUA
Schistocerca nitens (vagrant locust) is the source of this 783-nucleotide long non-coding RNA. RefSeq lists it as uncharacterized. The transcript has 5 exons. NCBI's taxonomy places the organism in Eukaryota, Metazoa, Arthropoda, Insecta, Orthoptera, Acrididae. The record is from RefSeq and is a predicted model, not a curated record.